GUGAUACCUAUAUAUUUAUAAUAACAAAAGAAAAAUAAUAAUUUCCGCUGGGUAUUAAAACCAGCAUUUAAAAAAGACCAGUUUUUCAAUUUCGUACAAGCAAUUUUGGGUUUUUUGGACCCUUUGAAACCCACUGGAAGCAAUUUCUGUAGCUAAAUGUCAUAUUGAAUUUGCUGGAACUUGUUACACACACCAAAAACUAAAUUGUGUAUCUAAAAAUUGGAUAAAAAUAUUUACACUUUUUUUAGAAAUAUUGAUUGUACAAGAAAAUCCACAUUUUUUGAAAAAGGCCCGUAU
RNAcentral lists this long non-coding RNA (297 nucleotides) under Mytilus galloprovincialis (Mediterranean mussel). The record is from RNAcentral. Lineage: Eukaryota; Metazoa; Mollusca; Bivalvia; Mytilida; Mytilidae.